AUUGAACGCUGGCGGCAGGCCUAACACAUGCAAGUCGAGCGGAUGAAGGGAGCUUGCUCCUGGAUUCAGCGGCGGACGGGUGAGUAAUGCCUAGGAAUCUGCCUGGUAGUGGGGGAUAACGUCCGGAAACGGGCGCUAAUACCGCAUACGUCCUGAGGGAGAAAGUGGGGGAUCUUCGGACCUCACGCUAUCAGAUGAGCCUAGGUCGGAUUAGCUAGUUGGUGGGGUAAAGGCCUACCAAGGCGACGAUCCGAAACUGGUCUGAGAGGAUGAUCAGUCACACUGGAACUGAGACACGGUACAGACUCCUACGGGAGGCAGCAGUGGGGAAUAUUGGACGAUGGGCGAAAGCCUGAUCCAGCAAUGCCGCGUGUGUGAAGAAGGUCUUCGGAUUGUAAAGCACUUUAAGUUGGGAGGAAGGGCAGUAAGUUAAUACCUUGCUGUUUUGACGUUACCAACAGAAUAAGCACCGGCUAACUUCGUG
RNAcentral lists this ribosomal RNA (484 nucleotides) under uncultured bacterium. Its description in RNAcentral is "partial 16S ribosomal RNA". It matches the Rfam family "Bacterial small subunit ribosomal RNA", at positions 30 to 507 of the family's 1533-position model. The record is from RNAcentral.